GGGGAUGUAAAGGCUUCGACGGAGGCCGUGAACCAUAGUAAGCGAGCAGCGCCGCGGAACGCUAUAUUUUCGCAAAAAAGAAAUAACUAACAAAGAUUCUAACGCUAACUAUAAUUACAAUUAUGGGAUGGCGUACGCGGCCUAAUUAGGCUGCCGUCCUUACUGAGAGCACCGCGGCUUGGAUAAGGGCGUCGAUUAGCGGUGAACGUGAGCCAAGGAAUGCCUUUACUUUGGCCAUGAUUUAAAGGCUACCAAAGCAAGGAGCCUGCCAGUGGGCGUCUUGCUGAGGAAAUUUUAAAACAUUGGCUACGCCCGUAGAAAGCUUUGGCAAAUUGCCUUCGGACACGGGUUCGACUCCCGUCAUCUCCACCA
This 372-nucleotide transfer-messenger RNA is filed under the name Oscillospiraceae bacterium. It matches the Rfam family "transfer-messenger RNA". From Rfam's summary of the family: Bacterial tmRNA, also known as 10Sa RNA or SsrA, is named for its dual tRNA and mRNA-like properties. Its role is to liberate the mRNA from a stalled ribosome. The record is from RNAcentral. RNAcentral also lists the same sequence under 1 other name. Lineage: Bacteria; Bacillati; Bacillota; Clostridia; Eubacteriales; Oscillospiraceae.